GAUGAACGCUGGCGGCGUGCCUAAUACAUGCAAGUCGAGCGAACGGACGAGAAGCUUGCUUCUCUGAUGUUAGCGGCGGACGGGUGAGUAACACGUGGAUAACCUACCUAUAAGACUGGGAUAACUUCGGGAAACCGGAGCUAAUACCGGAUAAUAUUUUGAACCGCAUGGUUCAAAAGUGAAAGACGGUCUUGCUGUCACUUAUAGAUGGAUCCGCGCUGCAUUAGCUAGUUGGUAAGGUAACGGCUUACCAAGGCAACGAUGCAUAGCCGACCUGAGAGGGUGAUCGGCCACACUGGAACUGAGACACGGUCCAGACUCCUACGGGAGGCAGCAGUAGGGAAUCUUCCGCAAUGGGCGAAAGCCUGACGGAGCAACGCCGCGUGAGUGAUGAAGGUCUUCGGAUUGUAAAACUCUGUUAUUAGGGAAGAACAUAUGUGUAAGUAACUGUGCACAUCUUGACGGUACCUAAUCAGAAAGCCACGGCUAACUACGUGCCAGCAGCCGCGGUAAUACGUAGGUGGCAAGCGUUAUCCGGAAUUAUUGGGCGUAAAGCGCGCGUAGGCGGUUUUUUAAGUCUGAUGUGAAAGCCCACGGCUCAACCGUGGAGGGUCAUUGGAAACUGGAAAACUUGAGUGCAGAAGAGGAAAGUGGAAUUCCAUGUGUAGCGGUGAAAUGCGCAGAGAUAUGGAGGAACACCAGUGGCGAAGGCGACUUUCUGGUCUGUAACUGACGCUGAUGUGCGAAAGCGUGGGGAUCAAACAGGAUUAGAUACCCUGGUAGUCCACGCCGUAAACGAUGAGUGCUAAGUGUUAGGGGGUUUCCGCCCCUUAGUGCUGCAGCUAACGCAUUAAGCACUCCGCCUGGGGAGUACGACCGCAAGGUUGAAACUCAAAGGAAUUGACGGGGACCCGCACAAGCGGUGGAGCAUGUGGUUUAAUUCGAAGCAACGCGAAGAACCUUACCAAAUCUUGACAUCCUUUGACAACUCUAGAGAUAGAGCUUUCCCCUUCGGGGGACAAAGUGACAGGUGGUGCAUGGUUGUCGUCAGCUCGUGUCGUGAGAUGUUGGGUUAAGUCCCGCAACGAGCGCAACCCUUAAGCUUAGUUGCCAUCAUUAAGUUGGGCACUCUAAGUUGACUGCCGGUGACAAGCCGGAGGAAGGUGGGGAUGACGUCAAAUCAUCAUGCCCCUUAUGAUUUGGGCUACACACGUGCUACAAUGGACAAUACAAAGGGCAGCGAAACCGUGAGGUCAAGCAAAUCCCAUAAAGUUGUUCUCAGUUCGGAUUGUAGUCUGCAACUCGACUACAUGAAGCUGGAAUCGCUAGUAAUCGUAGAUCAGCAUGCUACGGUGAAUACGUUCCCGGGUCU
This 1372-nucleotide ribosomal RNA is filed under the name uncultured bacterium. RNAcentral's name for it is "bacterial SSU rRNA". It matches the Rfam family "Bacterial small subunit ribosomal RNA", at positions 28 to 1381 of the family's 1533-position model. The record is from RNAcentral.